UACGGAGGGUGCAAGCGUUAAUCGGAAUUACUGGGCGUAAAGCGCACGUAGGUGGUUUGCUAAGUCAGCUGUGAAAUCUCCGGGCUCAACCUGGGCACUGCAGUUGAAACUGGCAAGCUAGAGUAGGGUAGAGGGGUGUGGAAUUCCAGGUGUAGCGGUGAAAUGCGUAGAUAUCGGGAGGAACACCAGUGGCGAAGGCGGCUUUCUGGCCUGUUCUUGACGCUGAGGCGCGAAAGCUAGGGUAGCAAACGGG
RNAcentral lists this ribosomal RNA (253 nucleotides) under uncultured bacterium. Its description in RNAcentral is "partial 16S ribosomal RNA". It matches the Rfam family "Bacterial small subunit ribosomal RNA", at positions 524 to 776 of the family's 1533-position model. The record is from RNAcentral.